GCAUUGGUGGUUCAAUGGUAGAAUUCCUACUUGCCAUGCAGGAGACCUGAGUUCAAUGUCUAACUAGUGCU
Alligator sinensis (Chinese alligator) is the source of this 71-nucleotide non-coding RNA. The record is from Rfam. NCBI's taxonomy places the organism in Eukaryota, Metazoa, Chordata, Crocodylia, Alligatoridae.